RNAcentral lists this ribosomal RNA (253 nucleotides) under uncultured bacterium. RNAcentral's name for it is "partial 16S ribosomal RNA". It matches the Rfam family "Bacterial small subunit ribosomal RNA", at positions 524 to 776 of the family's 1533-position model. The record is from RNAcentral.
UACGUAGGUGGCGAGCGUUGUCCGGAAUUACUGGGCGUAAAGGGCGUGUAGGCGGCCUGUUAAGUCAGAUGUGAAAUCUUUGGGCUUAACCCAAAAACUGCAUUUGAAACUGGCGGGCUUGAGGACCGGAGAGGGCAGUGGAAUUCCCAGUGUAGCGGUGAAAUGCGUAGAUAUUGGGAGGAACACCAGUGGCGAAGGCGGCUGCCUGGACGGCACCUGACGCUGAGGCGCGAAAGCUAGGGGAGCAAACGGG